RNAcentral lists this ribosomal RNA (253 nucleotides) under uncultured bacterium. Its description in RNAcentral is "partial 16S ribosomal RNA". It matches the Rfam family "Bacterial small subunit ribosomal RNA", at positions 524 to 776 of the family's 1533-position model. The record is from RNAcentral.
GACAGAGGGUGCAAACGUUGUUCGGAAUUACUGGGCGUAAAGCGCGUGUAGGCGGCCCUGUAAGUCGGGUGUGAAAUCCCACGGCUCAACCGUGGAAGUGCACCCGAAACUGCGUAGCUAGAGUCUCGGAGAGGAAGGCGGAAUGCUUGGUGUAGAGGUGAAAUUCGUAGAUAUCAAGCGGAACACCGGUGGCGAAGGCGGCCUUCUGGACGAUGACUGACGCUGAGACGCGAAAGCGUGGGGAGCAAACAGG